RNAcentral lists this ribosomal RNA (253 nucleotides) under uncultured bacterium. RNAcentral describes it as "partial 16S ribosomal RNA". It matches the Rfam family "Bacterial small subunit ribosomal RNA", at positions 524 to 776 of the family's 1533-position model. The record is from RNAcentral.
UACAGAGGUCCCGAGCGUUGUUCGGAUUCAUUGGGCGUAAAGGGUGCGUAGGCGGUCUUCUAAGUUUGAUGUGAAAUCCCGGGGCUCAACCCUGGAAUUGCAUUGAAUACUGGAGGACUAGAGUACCGGAGAGGAAACUGGAAUUUACGGUGUAGCAGUGAAAUGCGUAGAGAUCGUAAGGAAGACCAGUGGCGAAGGCGAGUUUCUGGGCAGUAACUGACGCUGAGGAGCGAAAGCGUGGGGAGCGAACAGG